UGGGGGAUAUUGCACAAUGGGCGAAAGCCUGAUGCAGCGACGCCGCGUGGGGGAUGAAGGCCUUCGGGUUGUAAACUUCUUUUGCUCUGAACAAGGCAUGCUAAUGGGUGUGUUGAGUGUAGGGGUUGAUUAGCGCCGGCUAACUACGUGCCAGCAGCCGCGGUAAUACGUAGGGCGCGAGCGUUGUCCGGAAUUAUUGGGCGUAAAGGGCUUGUAGGUGGCUGGUUGCGUCUGUCGUGAAAGCUCAUGGCUUAACUGUGGGUUUGCGGUGGGUACGGGCUGGCUUGAGUGCAGUAGGGGAGGCUGGAAUUCCUGGUGUAGCGGUGGAAUGCGCAGAUAUCAGGAGGAAUACCGGUGGCGAUGGCGGGUCUCUGGGCUGUUACUGACACUGAGGAGCGAAAGCAUGGGGAGCGAACAGG
RNAcentral lists this ribosomal RNA (419 nucleotides) under bacterium. RNAcentral describes it as "partial 16S ribosomal RNA". It matches the Rfam family "Bacterial small subunit ribosomal RNA", at positions 355 to 776 of the family's 1533-position model. The record is from RNAcentral.